This 437-nucleotide ribosomal RNA is filed under the name uncultured bacterium. RNAcentral's name for it is "partial 16S ribosomal RNA". It matches the Rfam family "Bacterial small subunit ribosomal RNA", at positions 339 to 795 of the family's 1533-position model. The record is from RNAcentral.
CUACGGGUGGCUCCAGUGAGGAAUAUUGCACAAUGGGGGGAACCCUGAUGCAGCAACGCCGCGUGGAGGAUGACGCAUUUCGGUGUGUAAACUCCUUUUAUAUGUCAAGAAAAUGACGGUAGCAUAUGAAUAAGCACCGGCUAACUCCGUGCCAGCAGCCGCGGUAAUACGGAGGGUGCAAGCGUUACUCGGAAUCACUGGGCGUAAAGGACGCGUAGGCGGGUUGGAAAGUCAGGUGUGAAAUCCUACAGCUUAACUGUAGAACUGCACUUGAAACUUCUAAUCUAGAGUAGGGGAGGGGGGGAGGAAUUAGGGGUGUAGGGGUAAAAUCCCGAGAAUUCACUAGGAAAAACCAAAGCGAAGGCGAUCUCCUGGAACAUUUCUGGCCCUAAGGCCGGAAAAGGUGGGGAGCAAACAGGAUUAGAUACCCAGUAGUC